GGCCCAUGAUCUUGUGGUUAAGUCGCUUGAUUGGGACUCAGUAGGUCAUUGGUUCAAGUCCCAGUGUAGCCG
Gymnothorax javanicus (giant moray) is the source of this 72-nucleotide non-coding RNA. Lineage: Eukaryota; Metazoa; Chordata; Actinopteri; Anguilliformes; Muraenidae. The record is from the annotation of a GenBank genome assembly.